GCUGUGGUCUCACCUGGUGGAGCAGCAACUCUCGUCUCAGCACCUGGAACACAGCACAUCACAGGUAAACAACAAGGGAGAAGGGAGGACCAUGCCAUCCCAACCCCCAGGCAGGACAGAGUGUGAUUAUACAACUAUUAAUACAUGUGUAGGCAGCACCAUGAAACUAAAAAGAUACAAUGCAAUCAUGGGACGCUCAAGCUGACUGAAAUCAAAGAGGAAAGAUGUGAUGAAGAAUUCUCGUCUCAGAUGGAGAAAUGUACAGUCCGACCAGAUACCUCUUCAGGCAAGUCCCAGCUGUGAAUCACUCAGAAUGAUUGAUUGAUUGAUAGUUUAUUGUUGCAGGUAAACAACAAGGGAGAAGGGAGGAACAUGCCAUCCCAACCCCCAGGCAGGACAGAGUGCAGACACGAGUGUGGAACGGAAAAAUAAUCUAGUUAGUGACAGCGAGCUGGAAAAACUUAGUAAGCUAAUAAAUGUGGAACGGAGGUGAAAUUGAAAAAGAAAAGACUGCAAAAAUGAAUGGAAAUAUGCAGUGGUGGGAUUCCAUUUUUUUAACCCCUUCACUACGGCUGGGCCAAAACAGUGCCCCGUUCCGUAUCCGAGAUCGCCGUGCACGCCAAAUUUCAAAUGUCGCUAUUGAAUAUAACAAGUUUUCAGCCAUAAACUCAACACAAUCAUCAUGUAUAAUAUAUGAAAACAUGCAGAAUUAAAUGGUGCACAUAAAGAAACAUAGAUUAAUUGAUAAUGUUGAGAUGUAAGCAUAAAUAAAGAGAUAAAAUAACUUGUAUAUUGGCUAAAGUGAGCCUGGAUCCAGUAUGAGAGUCCUCGGAUAUGGUACGGGGCACGCAAGGACGCAGUAUACGUGUUCUCGUGUUGAAGGGGUUAAUAACAGGUUUUCUCUAUGAGGGAUUUACAAAAAUAAGUUAUAAGCCAAAGGUGUUCAUGGGGGAAAAAUUGAGAACCCCUGAUUUAAGCGAACGGUAACAACCGGUUCUCAGGAUUAAAGAAAUUUCAAGAACAGGUUUUUGCGAACUGGUGUGAAUCGGUUGAAUCCCAUCACUGGAAAUAUCCCUUCCAAGGAGUAAAAGACAUGCCAGGCUGAAAAGGAUGAGGGAUAUGGGGGAGGGAAAUUUUGAGGAAAUGCAGGGUGACUAAUGAAGGCAUGAACAUUUUCCACUUUUCUUUAUAUUUUUAUUUGCACACAAAAAAAAGAAUGCAUAGUGUACUUGACAAAAUUCUGAAGAAAUCAUUACAGGUGCAAAGAGACAGUAGGAUUAUUAUUCCUACGUAAAAUUCCUAUGUAAAACCUUUAAUCACCAUUUUCUCAAAACGUGAAUUUCAGUAAAGUACUUCCAUCUAACU
This is a long non-coding RNA of Eriocheir sinensis (Chinese mitten crab), 1365 nucleotides long. RefSeq lists it as uncharacterized. The record is from RefSeq and is a predicted model, not a curated record. The transcript has 3 exons. NCBI's taxonomy places the organism in Eukaryota, Metazoa, Arthropoda, Malacostraca, Decapoda, Varunidae.